RNAcentral lists this transfer RNA (72 nucleotides) under Solirubrobacter deserti. Its description in RNAcentral is "tRNA-Ala". It matches the Rfam family "tRNA". From Rfam's summary of the family: Transfer RNA (tRNA) molecules are approximately 80 nucleotides in length. Their secondary structure includes four short double-helical elements and three loops (D, anti-codon, and T loops). Lineage: Bacteria; Bacillati; Actinomycetota; Thermoleophilia; Solirubrobacterales; Solirubrobacteraceae. The record is from RNAcentral.
GGGGGCGUAGUGAUAAUGGGAGCACGUGGCCUUUGCACGGCCAAGGUAGGGGUUCGAUUCCCCUCGCCUCCA